This 465-nucleotide ribosomal RNA is filed under the name uncultured bacterium. RNAcentral's name for it is "partial 16S ribosomal RNA". It matches the Rfam family "Bacterial small subunit ribosomal RNA", at positions 28 to 507 of the family's 1533-position model. The record is from RNAcentral.
GACGAACGCUGGCGGCGUGCUUAACACAUGCAAGUCGAACGGAAAGGCCCUGCUUGCCGGGUACUCGAGUGGCGAACGGGUGAGUAACACGUGGGUGAUCUGCCCUGCACUUCGGGAUAAGCCUGGGAAACUGGGUCUAAUACCGGAUAGGAGCCAUUUUUAGUGUGAUGGUUGGAAAGUUUUUUCGGUGUAGGAUGAGCUCGCGGCCUAUCAGCUUGUUGGUGGGGUAAUGGCCUACCAAGGCGGCGACGGGUAGCCGGCCUGAGAGGGUGGACGGCCACAUUGGGACUGAGAUACGGCCCAGACUCCUACGGGAGGCAGCAGUGGGGAAUAUUGCACAAUGGGCGCAAGCCUGAUGCAGCGACGCCGCGUGGGGGAUGACAGCCUUCGGGUUGUAAACUCCUUUCGCUAGGGACGAAGCUUUUUGUGACGGUACCUAGAUAAGAAGCACCGGCUAACUACGUG